This 352-nucleotide RNase P RNA is filed under the name Thermoplasmatales archaeon. RNAcentral's name for it is "RNase P RNA component". It matches the Rfam family "Archaeal RNase P". Rfam says of the family: Ribonuclease P (RNase P) is a ubiquitous endoribonuclease, found in archaea, bacteria and eukarya as well as chloroplasts and mitochondria. Its best characterised activity is the generation of mature 5'-ends of tRNAs by cleaving the 5'-leader elements of precursor-tRNAs. Cellular RNase Ps are ribonucleoproteins. The record is from RNAcentral. RNAcentral also lists the same sequence under 1 other name. Lineage: Archaea; Methanobacteriati; Thermoplasmatota; Thermoplasmata; Thermoplasmatales.
GGGAGAAGGCGGACAGCUGACGCCCCUGCUUGGGGUGAGGAAAGUCCCCCCUCCAUAGAGUAGGAGGAACGGCACAAGCCGUUACGGCGAGAGUCGUGGAAACGGAGCAGAAACGACACAGUCAUAUGGGUUUCACGGAAAAGCCUCUGGCUUUUCCUGAAAUAUUAGGAAAACGCCUUCGGCGUUUUCCUAAUAUUACAAUGAUUCUGCGAAGAUGAGGUUCCAUAUGGAUAUGGUGAAACGGCUAUCCACUCUGGAGCAAGCCUAAACGUUGGGAUGACUGCUCAGGACCAAAGGUAAGGCGCUUAGUCGAAUGCUGUCUUAAACAGAAGGGGGCUUACGUCCUUGACCC